Lycium barbarum (goji berry) is the source of this 517-nucleotide long non-coding RNA. RefSeq lists it as uncharacterized. The record is from RefSeq and is a predicted model, not a curated record. The transcript is spliced from 3 exons. Lineage: Eukaryota; Viridiplantae; Streptophyta; Magnoliopsida; Solanales; Solanaceae.
AGAAAGAAAAGAUUCCAAGCUUGUGUGUGAUCCAAAAAUCUUGGCUUCCACAUAAUUAAGAAGUACUCAAGACGCUCUCCGACGUGGUAUAAUUGGUUUGGCACAAGGAUUCCGUUUGCGACAAGUCGGAAAGUUAGUAAAAGAUUUUUGACGAAACGGGACGGGACUUUUGGAAGAGCUUACGACGUCUGUGAGGUGCAGACAUCGGUGAUCCUCCGCAGUAGGCUUCGCUUCUUGCUUUCCGGAGUACUCUUACUUGGUCCGGGGUCCACUUUUGGUACAGACUCCUUUACUCUGUAUAUGUUUUGUAUAUUUGACAGUUUGGGUACGGCGAGGCCCUGUCUCGCCAUAUGUUAUGUUUUGAAUUCGUAGAGGCCUGUAGUCAUCUUUGUGGGGCGAGGGUCCUAUGUGUAUGUUGUUUGAUUUUGCUUUCGGGUCUUACAGCGGUCUGUUUGAUAUGAUGGCCCCAAAUGGCCCUUCUGUAUAUAUUUGUAUUUUGACCGGCGAUGUCUAUUCC